UGUUAUGGCCUGGAGGACAAGCUCACUGACCUCGCUCGCUGCCCGCCGAGAUGGGCGCCGGUGCCAGCCCAGAGGAAAUUGCAAAGAUGACCUUCUGCAGCAGCAGCUACCUGGCUUGCUGUCGGGACCUUUACACUGCCUUACGGCUUUGCCAGAACUCUGCCUGCACGCUUGGAAGUUAAGUACACACAUGAAUGCUUUUCCGGAACAGGACUUCCUGACACUGAACGUCAGGCAGCCGAGGAGGCUGACUUUGCCCUACUGAUAGCAGGGAUCCCAAACUGCAGGAGGCAGAGGAGGAGGGAGGUGGUUGUAGAUACCGCUACCAAUAAUGUUAUCAGCUGGUAUUUAGCAAAGAGAAUUUGGGAACCUGUUUUUCAUGAUAAACAUGACUCUUACUGAACACAAAAUACAUUACAAUAAUCACAGCACUCCAAUCUUAACUCUGAUUCCUUAGGUGUAAUGGUUUCUACAUGCUGAUACUUAAAUGUGCUCUUUCCAAUAUUUUUUGUGUUGAAGUGUUUUUAAUCAUUGCAGGAUAAUGUAAUAUAAUAGGAAGAUGCACAAUUUGUGAUGAAAGUAUUCAUGUGCUUUCAUGUGACAUUUGGCCAAUGCAUGUAUACAUGCCUUUUUUCUUCAAGAGGCUACACAUUUCUCUGUGAUCACUGAUACGUGGGGUCAGAGUUAAUGUUGUUGAGUUCUGAUGAAAUACAGUCACAAAUAUUACUGUUUCUGCAGAAUGUGGUCUAAUUGUGGCAGGAAUCUCAAGCGCUCACUACUAUUACUGUAACUUCAGCUUGCAGGAAUGGAACAAGUUAGUUCAGUUUCUUGCAGUCAGUAAACUCAAACUCGCCCCCACCCCCAAGAAACAGUUGUCUCAUCUUGUGUGUCCUCCUGUAAGUACUUUUCUUCUGGCGGUCUUCCUGACCCCCUAAGGCAGCAGCUCCUCGGGCACCCACUGGAGACCAAGGGAGGUGUUCUGGUUUGGGGGGCAGGGGGGUGGUUUGGGGGGCUCUUUUGCUUUAUAGUUUUCUCAAAACAGCCCUGUCUUUGGAGAAGCACAUCUCAAUCAACCGUCCUCCACUGCUGCUUAGCCUUGUAAGCUUGCAGUUCAAGCAUGGUUCAGCUGUCUCAGAUCUUGCAAGCAUAGGUAUGUUAUGAGCAAUACUGAAAGAUUUUUGUACUGGUAACCUUAUUCUGUCAGGUGUGAUUCCCACUACAGGUUACUUUGACCAGCUCUACACUGGUCACUUUUCUUCCAGUGC
This is a long non-coding RNA of Apteryx owenii (little spotted kiwi), 1265 nucleotides long. NCBI's taxonomy places the organism in Eukaryota, Metazoa, Chordata, Aves, Apterygiformes, Apterygidae. The record is from Ensembl.